RNAcentral lists this ribosomal RNA (488 nucleotides) under uncultured bacterium. RNAcentral describes it as "bacterial SSU rRNA". It matches the Rfam family "Bacterial small subunit ribosomal RNA", at positions 28 to 500 of the family's 1533-position model. The record is from RNAcentral.
GAUGAACGCUAGCGGCAGGCUUAAUACAUGCAAGUCGAGGGGCAUCAAGGUACACGAAAGUGUAUUGUUGGCGACCGGCGGACGGGUGAGUAAUAGGUAGGUAACCUACCUCAUACUGAGGCAUAGCUGGGAGAAAUUCCAGGUAAUUCCUCAUGAGGUUAUAUGACACAUGUGAUAUAAUCAAAGGUAUCGCAAGGUACUGGUAUGAGAUGGGCUUACUGACCAUUAGCUAGUUGGUGAGAUAAGAGCUCACCAAGGCGAAGAUGGUUAGGGGUUUUGAGAGAGAGAUCCCCCACAUUGGAACUGAGAUACGGUCCAGACCCCUACGGGAGGCAGCAGUAGGGAAUAUUGGGCAAUGGGCGGAAGCCUGACCCAGCCAUGCCGCGUGAAGGAAGACGGCCUUAUGGGUUGUAAACUUCUUUACUAUGCGACUAACUAGAUUUACGAGAUAAUUCUAUAGAAUGUAGCAUAGCAAAAGCACCGGCUAA